GAUGAACGCUGGCGGCGUGCCUAAUACAUGCAAGUCGAGCGAACAGACUAGGAGCUUGCUCCUCUGACGUUAGCGGCGGACGGGUGAGUAACACGUGUAUAACCUACCUAUAAGACUGGGAUAACUUCGGGAAACCGUAGCUAAUACCGGAUAAUAUAUUGAACCGCAUGGUUCAAUAGUAAAAGACGGUUUUGCUGUCACUUAUAGAUGGAUCCGCGCCGCAUUAGCUAGUUGGUAAGGUAACGGCUUACCAAGGCAACGAUGCGUAGCCGACCUGAGAGGGUGAUCGGCCACACUGGAACUGAGACACGGUCCAGACUCCUACGGGAGGCAGCAGUAGGGAAUCUUCCGCAAUGGGCGAAAGCCUGACGGAGCAACGCCGCGUGAGUGAUGAAGGUCUUCGGAUCGUAAAACUCUGUUAUUAGGGAAGAACAAAUGUGUAAGUAACUAUGCACGUCUUGACGGUACCUAAUCAGAAAGCCACGGCUAACUACGUG
RNAcentral lists this ribosomal RNA (497 nucleotides) under uncultured bacterium. Its description in RNAcentral is "partial 16S ribosomal RNA". It matches the Rfam family "Bacterial small subunit ribosomal RNA", at positions 28 to 507 of the family's 1533-position model. The record is from RNAcentral.